GAAUGUGUCUAGUUUUUCUUAGGUUUUUCAUGGUGUUCAGGUUCUCUUGCCUGCUCUCUGUUGAGUGUUUUUUUUCCCCUCUAUAACUGAGCUCUUUUGAUGUAAACAUGUUCCUUCAGGAAUUAAAUCCAGUCAACUUGUUCACCAUUUGUAAGAAAACACCACUUUUCUGAUGAGAAUCAAGCUCAGACCUUCCAGUUCAGGCUCUGUAGGUUUGGCCCUGGAGUCAGUCCCAGGACCUCAGUUCCCUUGAGGCUUUCUGCUGAUUACAGCUUGCUCCCACCAUGUUUAUCUGUUGGGAUAAUGGGUGCUGGUCCCUCUUAAUACUUUGGUCCAGGAAGAGAGACCAGAUGUCCUAGUUGGUGUCAGGACAUCUGCUGAGUACUGGAGAGUAAGGAGGGGAAGAGGAGCCAGAGUGUCCUGUGAGCCAGGAGUGCGGCAUUUCUGACUUGAGGACCGUGGCAUAUUCUUCUCCAGUUCUUGGGGACCGCUGCUUUCACACGAGUGCGUUUUGUGUUUCUCAAAAGGGUGUCCUGUUGAACCUCCAUUCCCUCUGGGCUGGUAGGUUAUAAGGAGGUGCCCCCUGUAGGCGCACGCCUCCCUUCCAGACUGAACAAGCCACAGCCAGGGUGUGUGGUGUUCAGGCCGAUUUCAGCCCCUGUGCAUACCCCGCGCCUGGGCACCUGCAUGUGUUGUGGCCUUGAAUUAGGGUCACCACCCGAGGUUUUCUAGCUGUCCUUUUACAGCUUCACAAGGCAAAGAGCACCUUUAACCCCCACUAAGAUGGCUCUAGAGGGCUUUCACCUCCUCGGUGCAGAUGGGGGCUGAUUGUCUCCUUCCACUGCUCCUCAGGGGUGGGCGUGGUCCCUGGCAGUGGUCAGUGGUGGGGGGUUGAAUUUUGAGGUGCAUGGCUGAAAAAGCGUAGGUCUCUUGGACCAGAGUGUUGGUAGACAUGGAUGGUCGAGGCUCUGCUGCUGAGAGCACAGAAGAAAAUGAGAGGCUUGUUCCUGGAAGCUGGGGGAAGCAGGUUCUUGUCACACGGCAGCAGAAAGCUUAGUGGGAUUAUGUUCUGCAGGUUUAUGGAAAGCAGAACAUCUAGGUGAUGAAGUUGAAUAUCUUGCUGAGGACGUUGCCUUGUUAAAGGAGCUGUUUGGUAUCUUCUUGCUGCUUAUGGUAAAAUGUGAGAAAAAAUUCUGCCUUUGGACUGGCGCUUCAGUGUGUGCCCCAGAGUUUCUGACCGCCUGCUCUAGAGAUCACACUUUGAACAGCAAGGCUGUAAAGGACCAUGUUUGUUUAUUUGCAGGGUCACACAUGUCAUAUAUAUAAGGAUUUGAAUCUGCUCAUCAGCCUUCAAAAUACUUACUACUGACAAUAACGGUACGGAGCUAAUUAGGAAUCUAAGCCGGUAUAUAAGAACUACACCUUCUCUUACUUUGGCACGUUUUUGUCUUUUGUACUUAGGUUGAAUAGCGUUCCCCUGCCCCCGGCCCCAAAUUCAUGUUUACCCCGGGACCUGUCAAUGUCACCUUAUCUGGAAAUAGAGUCUUGGCAAAUAUAAUCAAGCUCAGAUAAGGCCAUACAGCAUGAGGUGGGUCACAGUCCAGUGACUGGUGUCCUUACACCAUGAGGGCAAUUUGGACAACAGGGACACACAGGAAAACAGGUGAAGACAGAAGCAGUGAUAGAAGUUGGGCAGCCACAUGCCAAGAAACACCAAGGAUGGUUGGCAACCAGCAGGAGCUAGGAGAGAGGAGGGAGCACGUUCUCCCUCCGAGCCCCCAAGAGGGAACCCGCCCGGCUGACAGUCUUGUCUUCAUCUUGGACUCUGGCCUCCAGAACUGUUGUUUUGAGCCACCCAGUUUGUGGUGGUGGUAUGGUAGCCUUAGGAAAUGAAUCCAUCUUCUAACAAGUAAAACUUAGAUAUGGGAGUCGAGGAAAUUAAAAACCCAAUAGAAAAUGUCACUGUUCACAGAGGCAGUGCCUACUAUGGCUGUUGCCCAAAUUGGGAAUUUUGGAAGUUUAAGUUAAGAUAGGUUUCCUUGGGUAAUUCUUAAACCUUUUGCACCAGGUGAGAUUGAGAAUGGAGUGAAAAGACCUUGAACACAAAAUCAAACUUUAUAUCAAACUGAGAAGGAAAAAGAAAGUACUAGAAGGAAGGUUGCAUAAAGUGGCGCCAUGUCUUCUGCAAUUUGUUUCUUGUAAUUUUGGCUCUGGGCUGGCCAGGGAAAUAACAGAUAGACUUGAUAGAAGUCAACUCCUCAAACGACUUUCUUGUCACCCUUUUCCUCCGUCAUAUGCAUUCCACGUGACCUUUGUUCCUUGUGCACGACUUAGAGAUGCUCUCUGAAUGUAAGCAAUUGCUUAUAGCAAUGCUUGCACCAAACAGAUGCCUCAUUUUGUGGAAUAGAGUUGUCCCUGGAAAUUUUGCUUUAAAGUACUUUCUAUGAAGUGAAGUUGUGCCUUUUCAGUUUUUCUGUUGUAGAAUAAAAUAUUUCUUCCGACAAGGAAGUAAUUGUACCCAAUAUGAGUUUUAAGAACUAUUAAAAAAUAUAUGUCCUCCUAACAAACAAAUAUUUUUAAAGAAUAUCCUAUUCAGUAGAACAUAUAUAUUGUCUGGAGUUAAAUUUAGAAAUAUGCAGAGCCUUCGCAGAGACAUAAAGAAAUGCACUGAUGUACCAUAUUUGCAAGGGAAAGUAUCAAUAUUGUAGAGAUGGCAGUUGUCCCUGCAUUAACCCAUAAAUUCAGUUCCAAUCAAUAACUGAACACCUGAAACAUUUUUCAUAGCAGACAUUUUCAAACUUCCUUGAAGAGAAGAGUAUAAGCAACCCCAUGUACCCACCAUCCAGCUUUGAGAGUUGUCAUCGUUUUGGCAGUCUUGUUAUAAUUGUAGGAAUUUGAGGGGGAGAGUGUGUUGUUUUAUUUUCCUGGAGAAUUUUAAAGCAGGGCCAGAAAUCAUCACACCAUUUUGCCUGUUACUACUUCAUUUUGCAUCACUAAGUAUCUGUUUUUAAAUGUAACUAUUCUAUUAUCAGACCUAAAGAAACGACUGGUAAUUCCUUAAUGUCAUCUGAUGCGCACGUCUCAGGUUGUGGCCAAAGAUGGCUUUUUGCACUUUGUUUUUUUGAAUUAGGAUAUAAACAAAAGUCCUUACAUUGCAUUUGAUUAUAUCCUUUAAGUCUCUUGGGUUGUAUAAUGGCUUCCUUCUUUUUAUUCCCUGCAGUGUAUUUGUUGUGUAUGGGGAUAUGGGGGCUAUGUGUAUUCCAGUGGAAUGUUGCCUGAUCCUUCUCUUAAAAACCUUCUUUCCACCUGAGGUUUUAGUGUCCUUUGUUAAUGAUUGCCUAGAAUCAUGAUUUCCUUAGAGCUUGAAAAACAGUGUAUUUCUAAUGAUGUCAUUCUUUGUGCUUUUAUUAGCUAGAAUUCUUUAUAGAACUUACCCCUCAUCAGCUAAAUAGUUAUCCUGAAAUAGUUUAUACACCAACGGCAGAAUAAAUGCUUGAUUUUUUUUUUUUCCUUUAUCCAUGUUCAGAGUAAUGAGCUGAUGCCUGCUUGGUUAUCUACUGCUGCAUAACAAAUUACCCCAAAACUCAAGGGGCAUAAAAUAACAACUGUUUUAUUAAACAUUAUUUGAUAGGUUGGGGAUUUCGGAGCGCUCGGCUGGCAGCCCUGUUGUAUGUAGUAGAAGGUGUUUAACUGGUGGGUGGGCUGAUGUGGACAGUCCCAGACAGGUUCUUCUCACAGGUCUGGCACCUUGGAGGGGAUGGUUAGCGGGCUUGGCUCACUUGGGACUACUUCUCAGAGAGCCUGUCCCCUCAGGCUGAUGGUGGUCCCAUGGUAGUUGGGCUUCUUCCAUAAUACCUAAACUUCUGGGGAGAAUGUUCCAAGAGCCCCAGGUGUAAGCUGCAAAGCUGCUUAUGUCUUGAUGUCUCAGAAUUUCAUUCUUUGGCAUUCUCUUGGUCAAGUGUCACUAAGGCCAGUCUGAAUUUAAGAGGAGUAGGAAAGAAUUUGCAGCCACCUUUAAUCUACCAUAGUACCCUAGCAAAUUCUACUGGUGACCAACUAUUUGAAGAAAUUUAAUAUCACUAUUGAUUUAUGGAAUUUUUUUUACCUUUUCUGGUGCUACACCCAUGGCAUAUGGAGGUUCCCAGGCUAGGGGUCUAAUCAGAGCUGUAGCUGCCGGCCCACACCAGAGCCAUAGCAGUGCAGGAUCUGAGCCGCGUCUGCGACCAACACCGCAGCUCAGGGCAACAGAUCCUUAAUCCACUGAACAAGGCCAGGGAUAGAACCUGCAACCUCCUGGUUCCUGGUUGGAUUCGUUAACCACUGAGCCACGAUAGGAACUCGUGAUUUAUGGAUUUUUGUAUAUUUGAUAUAUUUUAUAUAUCCAUGUCAGUCAUUAGUUUUUACUGAUGCUCAGAUUGUCACAUUUUUGGCCAGUUAGGCCCCUUUAAGUUGGAUCUCAUGAUCUUUUGUUAAGAUGUGGUUAGUUUUUUAAAGAACUAUUUAAAAAAGUUCUAAAUAGAACAUGUUUAAAAGAUAAAUAUUUUAGUCUAUAUAUUAAAAUCUGUCCUCUUAACCAUUUUAAGUGUAUGAUUAAAUGGCAUUAAUUUACACCCAGUGUUGUGCAGCUAUCACCACUAUUCCCAGAACUUUUUCAUCACUCCUAACAGAAACUGCAUGGCCAUUAAGCAGUAACUCACCAUUCCCUCCUCCCUCAACCCCUGGCAGUCUCUUCUCUAUUUUCUGUCUCUGCCAGUUUGCCUAUUCUAGUUAAUGGAAUCAUACAGUAUUUGUCCUUUUGUGGUUGGACACAGCAUAAUGUUUUCAGGAUUCAUUCAUAUUGUAGCACAUGCCAGAAUUUCAUUCCUGUUUUGGCUAAAGGAUAUUCCAUUGAAUGAAUGUACCACAUUUUGUGUAUUUAUUUAUCUAUUGAUUGACACGUGAGUUAUCACCUUUUGACUGCUGCUAAUGAUCCGUGGUGAGUGUUGGUGUCCAAAGAUCUGAGUCUCUUCUCAGCUAUUUUGGGUAUGUACGUAGAAGUGAGGUUGUUCAGUCACAUAGUAAUUGUAUGUUUAGCAGUUUCUCCGCAUUCAUUCCACUUGUUUUCUUUCUCUCCCCUUUCCUUCUCUCCAUCCUUCCUUCCCUAUAGCUGUUCUAGUAGGUGUGAAGGGAUAUCUCGUGAUUGGAUUUGCAGUUACCUAAUGACUAAUGAUAUUGAGUAUCAUUUCAUGUGCUUUUCAACCAUUUACGUAUAUUUGGAGAAAAGUGUACUCAGGCCCUUCACCCAUUUUAAAAUUGAGUUGUUUGUCCUCCUGUGCUAUUGGUGGGGAUAUAAACUGGUGUAGCCCCUAUGGAAAAUAGUAUGGAGAUUCCUCAAAAAACUGAAAGAUGCCAUAUGAUCCAGCAGUUCCACUCCUGGGCAUAUAUCUGGAGAAAACUAUAAUUCAAAAAGAUGCAUGCACCCCUGUGUUCAGAGCAGCAGUGUUCACGACAACCAAGACAUGGAAACAACUGAAAUGUCCACCGAUGGGUGAAUAGACUCAGACAGGAAAAGAACGAAAUAAUGCCACUUGUAGCAACAUGGAUGGACCUAGAGAUUAUCAUACUAAGUGAAGUCAGAGAAGGACGAAUACCCUAUGAUAGCACUUAUAGGUCGGAUCUAAAAUAUGACACAAAUGAACUUAUCUAUGAAACAGAAACAGACUCAAAGACAUAGAAUAGAGAACAGACUUGUGGUUGCCAAGGUGGGGUAGGGGAGGGAUGGAUUGAAAGUUUAGGAUUAGCAGAUGCAAACUAUUAUUCAUAGAGUGAGUAGGAGUUUGCUUGUGGCUCAGUGGAUUAAGGAUCCAGCAUUGUUACUGCUGUGGCUCUGGUUACAGCUGUGGUGCGGGUUUGAUCCUGGCC
Molecule: long non-coding RNA, 5901 nt
Filed under: Sus scrofa (pig)
Lineage: Eukaryota; Metazoa; Chordata; Mammalia; Artiodactyla; Suidae
Description: lncRNA (ENSSSCG00000057880.1)
Source: RNAcentral